Molecule: non-coding RNA, 286 nt
Organism: Oncorhynchus mykiss (rainbow trout)
Lineage: Eukaryota; Metazoa; Chordata; Actinopteri; Salmoniformes; Salmonidae
Source: RefSeq, a predicted model, not a curated record
UCUUGUCUAUGUGUAGUUGCCUGUCAGCAAUAUAGUGUAUAGAGUCACGGUUCGUUUGUUAUUUUGUUCGGUGUUCAUUCUUUUAAAGAGAAUGUACGCAUACCACACUGCGCCUUGGUCUCCUUCAUACGACAAGCAUGACGUGACAAGCAUAUUCCAGAUAGCCACAGUGCUGCUGUAGAGACGGAGAGGAGAGAGAAGUGGAGGGGAGGACGGUGACGGGAAGGAGGGGUGGACGACUUCCUGGUUUUGACCCUUUCCUGUCCUGACGCCGAACCCGCCUGCC